This 253-nucleotide ribosomal RNA is filed under the name uncultured bacterium. RNAcentral describes it as "partial 16S ribosomal RNA". It matches the Rfam family "Bacterial small subunit ribosomal RNA", at positions 524 to 776 of the family's 1533-position model. The record is from RNAcentral.
GACGUAGGGGGCGAGCGUUGUCCGGAUUUAUUGGGCGUAAAGCGUGCGUAGGCGGCUGCGCAAGUCGGUUGUGAAACCCCGGGGCUCAACCCCGGAACUGCAUCCGAUACUGCGUGGCUAGAGGUAGGUAGGGGAGAUCGGAAUUCCUGGUGUAGCGGUGAAAUGCGCAGAUAUCAGGAGGAACACCGGUGGCGAAGGCGGGUCUCUGGGCCGAUACUGACGCUGAGGAGCGAAAGCGUGGGGAGCAAACAGG